CCGUGCAUGGUUGAUCGCCACCCUCACUUACUGGAGCGCGUGGCCGCAUUUUUUUUAUUGUUUUGCUCUCGUUAGCAUCGCUACAAGGAACCCUCUGCAUCCCCUUCCUCUCCCUUCCUCUGCCAGCACAUUACUACACUUCAGUGCCGUCCCUCCCGCCGUCGUGGCCGCGUCUUCUCGAGGAUGCCGCCAAAGGCCAAGGCGGCGGAGCCGAAGCCCAAGUCCAAGAAGGCACUGGCGCUGCAGGCCGCCAUCGACCAGUCUACGAAGGAAGCGCAGAAAACAUACAAGCAGCAUGAACAACUCCGCACAAAAGCGGAUCAGGUGGAGAAGAGCCAGCGCGAGUACCUGCUUCUCGAUGAGACUGUCGCGCGGGAACGGAUUAAGGAAGAAAAGAAGCGCUAUCGCGCCGCCGUGGCGGAUCUGAGGACGGAGGAGCAGCUUGCCUUUGCCACCUACAUCAAGCACGACCAUUGGGAGCACAUUUCAGAAGCAUCGCGUUUGCCGAAUGUGCACAGCGAGGCGGACAUCAACGACUUCCUCAGCAGCUGGAAGAGUCGUCAGGCGGCCAAUGAUCGGUAUGAGCCGGACACCGUUGUCAUCGCUUCCCGCGCGCCAAACAGCACAGAGGACGGAAAGCUGCUCUUCAUUCGCGGUGAGCAGCGCUUGCCGCCGCAGAAGCGCCGGGCGCUCAUUAGGGGGGAGCUUCUGCAGUGCUACGACGCCUACGAGCUGGCGGAAAAGAUCAAAGAUGACCGGGACACCUACAACUCGAUUGCUUCCACGGCCGCGUUUCAGAAGCCCAUGCCAUGGGCCUCCGUCUUGCAGCAGGUGUAUCUUCAACUGCGUGCGACGUUUGAUUUCGUGUCGACGCAGACCUUGCGGUUUUACGACCAGGUGAUCGACAGCGCGGACGGCGAAACGGUCACGCGCACCGUGUCUGCGGCGAACCCGGUUAUCAAGUUCGGGCUGUGGGUCAAAACAAAGGAUGUGACACGCAGCUUCACGUCGCUUGCUUUCCCAGAGAUCGAGGUGCGCCUUGACCCAAAGCAGAACUCGCUGCCCAAGCUGCCCAAAAUGCUGGGCCUCAGCAAGGAGAAUAUCGCCGUGCGUGCGGUGCAGCUGGCCUUUGACCCCUACUCCUGCUACGUCUCACGCCGCAGUCAGUACUACGCGCUUGACUGCACCAUCAAGAUUGACCUCCUCACUUUCGCCGAGCGACCGCGGCCCAACGGAGAGUGGUUGCUGCGCAUGGAGACGCCCGAGUCGCAUAGGCUCCACGUAGAAGAGUACCCGCCGCGAACCGCCGAGGCCCGCGUCGAGGACCCGGCACUGCGUAUCUCCUUUGAGGUACCGAAGUCCAUCGUGAUCCGCCAGCCAAGCCUGUUCAUCGGCAGAUGGAAUGAGGAGACGCAUGAGUGGGAGCCGUGCAGCGGGGCAACGCUUGGCGCGUCAUUUGGUCCCACCGUGCGCGUUGCGGAGAACCCGCGGCGGGCGACGUUUAUCGCCUCCGAGCUCGCCCAGUUCGCUGUUCUUCACGAAACCGUGUUCGACGUCGUCUAUGAAAGCUGGAGCCUCAAGCCUUUUGACGGGAGCCGUAUCCUCGUUACGCUGGAAGGCCGUCACCGCGGCGACGCCACCGAUCGCGAGUUCCGCUUUCUGCUUGAGGACGCCAAGUGCCGGCUUCUCUCUCCCGAAGACGACGAGCUGGCGCCGCUGCGCACCUCGUGCUGGAGCCCGGCGGUGCUGCUGCGCAAGCUCAAACAAAGCGGUUUCAACUUUCUUGUUCGUGAUGAGGAGGCGUGCUUCUUAGAAAAUGUUAUCCCGAAAACCCGCCAGCUCGAGGAGAAGGCGUACGCGGAUAUGGCGCAGUUCAGUCAGUACUUCACGAUUGCCAGCUCGCGCCACAACAAGAACGGCGAGGACGCGGAUAUGGCCCUUUUUCGCGUCUCGAAGCGUUGGCUGCGGCCCGGCGAAGAGGACGAGAGCUUCGACAUCCCUACCACUUCUGAUUUGUGGCACUCGAUCCGCUACCGCACCGACGACUGCGCUCUCGCCUGCUUCACUGAGUUGGAUGAGACGACAAACAUGAGCAUCCUUGACGGCGCCGAAACGCACUAUAACCUGUACAGCCUCCUCACGCCUGUGGAAGGCGAGGAGUCGUUGCGUGGACAGCUGCUCAACACGAACUACCUGCUGCGGCGGUGCGUUCUGGAGUUUCUGCAGCUCGUCCGCCCACUCACGUGGGGCUGAGCGUUGAAAGAGGAGCAGAGGAGCAGGAAUGGCCGUCGCUACCGUGGUAAGACCUGUAGUGCUUAGGAGGGCCGCGGUUUAAGGGCAGUGAUGCGAAGGCCUAUGCGAGAGCGCCGUCUACCUUGCCCGAUUCCCUUCUGUUCGUGCUUCCGUGGAAAGCGUCGUAUGGAGGAGAGGCCGAUGCAGCGUCGCUCUCUCCCCUCCUCCCCCGCCUCUUGCUCACGGACCAGGCACCUUCUUUUUUCUGAUUGUUUGUUGGUUUCUUCGCUCCUCUCCAUGCAUGUAAAGUAGCGCACUUAUCAGCGCGAAAUCAGGCUCGCUUUUCUCCAGCUGCAACAGCUCCUGACAUUGGCCAAGCCGAAAAAAAAAAGACAAAGAACACAAGGGGGGAGGGAUGGGUGAGCGCAUCUGCCUCCCCAGUUUUCGCCCUCCUGCCUUCAAUUUGCAGCGCGGUCUUUCGAGCCCAUAUGCGGCUGUUCUUUUUUUUCUUUCCUGUUCGAUCCGCAAUGCCGCCUUCCCGAUGUGACGCACCUCGUAGAGUGGCGAGGCUUCUCGCGACACCG
RNAcentral lists this unclassified non-coding RNA (2816 nucleotides) under Leishmania donovani. RNAcentral describes it as "gene:LdHU3.34.6200(CDS-product:hypothetical_prote in_conserved)". Lineage: Eukaryota; Euglenozoa; Kinetoplastea; Trypanosomatida; Trypanosomatidae. The record is from RNAcentral.